GGGGUUACGGCUGCUACUCUUGGCUCCUUACUCCAUUGUCCCAACCUGAUUCUCCUGCUGAACACAGUUACAAUCAUGCACAUAAGGCUACGCGGAAUGUGAUAGAAAGAUGUUUUGGUGUGCUGAAGUCACGGUUUCGGUGUCUGGAUAAAUCUGCAGGCCUUUUGUUGUAUAGUCCCUCAAAGAUAACUGAGGGGAUCGGGGCUCAUCACUCUGCGAACUCGCCAAUAGUGCCAGUGGUGGCUGGGGUGACACUGCCGAAAGUCGUCGCCUGGGUGGGGAUGAUGGAGCCGCAGAUUCCGAGCCAAGACGCCGUGUCUUACUUGGCCUCCUGGAAUAUGUGACUACACUGAAGUCUUACCUGCAAUCCCAGCCUCAUCCUGACUUGUCUGAGGCCUGUCUGGCCGGCUGGUCUGUGGGACUGUUGAAAAAGUGUACCAAACAUUAUUACCAUGCUUUGUGUAAAAAAUACCCCUGCAAAGCCUUAUUGUACUGUAACCAUCUAUUAGGUAUUGGAUAAACAAAUAAUUUCUGAUUAA
Pseudophryne corroboree (corroboree frog) is the source of this 539-nucleotide long non-coding RNA. RefSeq lists it as uncharacterized. Lineage: Eukaryota; Metazoa; Chordata; Amphibia; Anura; Myobatrachidae. The record is from RefSeq and is a predicted model, not a curated record. The transcript is spliced from 3 exons.